UACGUAGGGGGCUAGCGUUGUCCGGAUUUAUUGGGCGUAAAGAGCGUGUGGGCGGCCAGGUAGGUCUGGUGUGAAAACUCGAGGCUUAACCUCGAGAUGUCAUCGGAAACCAUUUGGCUAGAGUCCGGAAGAGGAGAGUGGAAUUCCUGGUGUAGCGGUGAAAUGCGCAGAUAUCAGGAAGAACACCAAUGGCGAAAGCAGCUCUCUGGGACGGUACUGACGCUGAGACGCGAAAGCGUGGGGAGCGAACAGG
Molecule: ribosomal RNA, 253 nt
Filed under: uncultured bacterium
Lineage: Bacteria
Description: partial 16S ribosomal RNA
Rfam family: Bacterial small subunit ribosomal RNA
Source: RNAcentral